UGGAUCUUCAGCUUGCAGUUG
Molecule: unclassified non-coding RNA, 21 nt
Filed under: Dictyostelium discoideum
Lineage: Eukaryota; Evosea; Eumycetozoa; Dictyosteliales; Dictyosteliaceae
Source: RNAcentral